AUGUCCUUGUCAAUGUUUUACAACAAGUUCAAGUUUUAAAAGUUAACCUACAAUAACAUUGUUAGAAGACUGGAAUUAGAUUCCUUUCUUCGCAAUUACCUAAAAUUGUCUAACACUAAAGCUCAAUCUUUCAGAUAUUCUUAGGAAAAGUUAAAAGUAAGAAAAUCAAACAAUUACUAUGGCCAAAAAAAAAAGAUAUCUUAAACACUUCUUCGGUCUUGAUUGGCAAAGUAUAAACAUUAGUAGUAGCAGUAUGUUAUAGAAGCAUUAUGCUGCAUGAACUGUAUGUUUUUCCUAAACUGUUUAAUAUGAUGAUUGGUAGAGCAGUAUGAGUAUGCUAUUUAAAAUUAUUAUAAAAAUUAGUAUAUAAUAUAUAAUAUAUUUAUUUUUAAUAAAUAUAUUUCUAAUAUAUAU
This 414-nucleotide long non-coding RNA is filed under the name Brassica napus (rape). RNAcentral's name for it is "long non-coding RNA (BNAP_LNC024369)". The record is from RNAcentral. Lineage: Eukaryota; Viridiplantae; Streptophyta; Magnoliopsida; Brassicales; Brassicaceae.